Molecule: ribosomal RNA, 253 nt
Filed under: uncultured bacterium
Lineage: Bacteria
Description: partial 16S ribosomal RNA
Rfam family: Bacterial small subunit ribosomal RNA
Source: RNAcentral
UACGUAGGUGGCAAGCGUUGUUCGGAAUUAUUGGGCGUAAAGGGCGCGUAGGCGGUUUGUUAAGUCGGCUGUGAAAGCCUGGGGCUCAACCCCAGAGGGUCGGCCGAUACUGGCAAACUAGAGUACGGAAGAGGUAGCUGGAAUUCCCGGUGUAGCGGUGAAAUGCGUAGAUAUCGAGAGGAACACCUGCGGCGAAGGCGGGUUGCUGGGCUGACACUGACGCUGAGGCGCGAAAGCUAGGGGAGCGAACGGG